This 86-nucleotide non-coding RNA is filed under the name Niallia circulans. RNAcentral describes it as "Bacillus circulans c-di-GMP sequence". It matches the Rfam family "c-di-GMP-I riboswitch aptamer". Rfam says of the family: GEMM was predicted in a large-scale screen for bacterial structured RNA regulatory elements. Genes associated with GEMM are involved in a diverse array of functions, including chemotaxis regulation, signal transduction, secretion and chitin. Lineage: Bacteria; Bacillati; Bacillota; Bacilli; Caryophanales; Bacillaceae. The record is from Rfam by way of RNAcentral.
AAAUGUAAAAGGCAAACCAAUACGAAAGUUUGGGACGCAAAGUCACGGAUCUAAUGUCUUAAAACAAUGAUGGCCGGACUGCCAAA